GACGAACGCUGGCGGCGUGCUUAACACAUGCAAGUCGAACGGUGAAGCGCCUUCCUUUUUGGUGGGUGUGGAUGAGUGGCGAACGGGUGAGUAACACGUGCGUAACCUGCCCCCUUCUUCUGGAUAACCGCAUGAAAGUGUGGCUAAUACGGGAUAUUCUGGGUCUGUCGCAUGAUGGGUCUGGGAAAGAUAUUGUUUCGGUGGGGGAUGGGCUCGCGGCCUAUCAGCUUGUUGGUGGGGUGAUGGCCUACCAAGGCGGUGACGGGUAGCCGGCCUGAGAGGGUGGACGGUCACACGGGGACUGAGACACGGCCCAGACUCCUACGGGAGGCAGCAGGGGAGAAUAUUGCACAAGGGGCGAAAGCCUGAUGCAGCGACGCCGCGGGAGGGAUGGAGGCCUUCGGGUUGUGAACCUCUUGCGCCAGUGAAGCAGGCCUGCCUCGUUUGUGGGUGGGUUGACGGUAGCUGGAAAAGAAGCGCCGGCUAACUACGUG
Molecule: ribosomal RNA, 494 nt
Filed under: uncultured bacterium
Lineage: Bacteria
Description: partial 16S ribosomal RNA
Rfam family: Bacterial small subunit ribosomal RNA
Source: RNAcentral